UUGCAAGUUCGAGCGGAGCACAGGACAUCUUGCUGUCUGCGUGGCCAGUGGGGUACGGGAGGCGAAUACGUCUGACUCUACUCUGUCGUGAGGGAUAACUUACGGAAACUUACACUAAUACCGCAUACGACCUACGGGUGAAAGCUCGGGAUCUUCCGACCUUGCUCAUGUGACUGAGCCGAUGUCGCAUUAUCUAGUUGGCAAGGUAUACGCCCACCACGGCCACUAUCCGUACCUGGACUAAGAGGAUGAUCACUGACACUGAAACUGAGACCCGAUCCAUACUCCAACCGGCGGCGGCAAUGAGUAAUAUUGGACCAUGGGCGCGAGCCUGAUCCGCCCCUACCGCGUGGAUGGAGAACGCCUUCGGGUUGUAUAUCCCUUUUGUUGGAAAACAAAUCGAGAUGGCUAUGACCCUGUUGGGAUGCCGGUACACAAAGAAUAAUCACCGGUCAACUACGUGCCAGCAGCCACGGUAAUACUAAGGGCGCAAGCGUUAAUCGCAAUUACUGAGCGUAGAGCGUCCGUAGCUGGUCGUUGGAUUUCGUUGAGAAAACCUCGGGCUCAUCAUCGGAACUGCAGCGGAUACUGGGCGACUAGAGUGUUGUAGAGGGUGGCGGAAUUCCUGGUGUAGCAGUGAAAUGCGUAGAGAUCAGGAGGAACAUCCAUAGUGAAGGCAGCUACCUGGACCAACACUGACACUGAGGCGGUAAAGAGUGGGGAGCAAACAGCAUUAUAUACCCUCGUAGUACUCCCCCUAAUAGAUGAGAUCGGGAUGUUGGGAGCAUUUGGCAAUCAGUAUGGAAGAUAACGCGUUAAAUUUGCCCCCUGGGGAGUACGGUCGCAAGAGUGAAAAUCAAAAGAAUUGACGGGGGGCCCCGACACACGGUGGAGUAUGUGGUUUAAUUUGAUGCAACGCGAAGAACCUUUCCUGGCCUUGACAUGUCGAGAACUUUCCAGAGAUGGAUGGGUGCCUUUUGGAACUCUAACACAGGUGUUGCAUGGCUGUGUUCAGAUCGUGUCUUGAGAUGUUGGGUUAAGUCCCGCAACGAGCGCACACCCUGUCUCUAGUUUCCACCACGUAUUGGUGGGACCUUUAAGGAGACCGCCGGUGACAAACCGGAGGAAGGUGGGGAAGACGUCAAGUCAUCAUGGCCCUUACGGCCCGGGGUACCCACGUACUACAAUGGUAGGGACAGAGGGGUGCAAACCGGCGACGGUAAGCCAAUUCCAGAAACCCUAUUUCAGUCCGGAUGGAGUUUGCAACUUGACUCCAGAAGUUGG
RNAcentral lists this ribosomal RNA (1284 nucleotides) under Stenotrophomonas sp. BAC3120. RNAcentral describes it as "partial 16S ribosomal RNA". It matches the Rfam family "Bacterial small subunit ribosomal RNA", at positions 55 to 1329 of the family's 1533-position model. Lineage: Bacteria; Pseudomonadati; Pseudomonadota; Gammaproteobacteria; Lysobacterales; Lysobacteraceae. The record is from RNAcentral.